RNAcentral lists this ribosomal RNA (533 nucleotides) under Ichthybothrium sp. n. PBI_427. Its description in RNAcentral is "partial 16S ribosomal RNA". It matches the Rfam family "Bacterial large subunit ribosomal RNA", at positions 1669 to 2563 of the family's 2925-position model. The record is from RNAcentral. Lineage: Eukaryota; Metazoa; Platyhelminthes; Cestoda; Bothriocephalidea; Bothriocephalidae.
UAAUUUAUUUUUAUUUUGGUUAUUUAUUGCGUUUAAUGAGCAGAUAGGUUUAAUAGUUUGAUAUAUUUAUGGUACAAUGAGUAAUAUAAAAAAUUGUAUUGUUUCUCAGACAUAUUCCGUCUGUUUAUUAAAAACAUUUCUAUAUGGUGAUUGUAUAUAGUAGGGCCUGCUCAGUGUUUGAUUAUUAAUAGCCGCAGUAUUUUGACUGUGCGAAGGUAGCAUAAUUAAUUGCCCUUUAAUUGGGGGCUUGUUUGAAUGGUUUAACGUGAUUGUUGUUAACAUUAUUUUUGUAGUUGAAAUUAAUUUUGAGGGCACAGAAUCCUCUUAUUUUAAUUAGACGGAAAGACCCCGGGAUCUUUUAAUUUUGCCUGGGGCAGGUUAUAGUGUUUCAAAUUUUAUAUUUUGAUCCUAUAUUAGGUCAAUUGGUGUAAGUUACCCCGGGGAUAACAGUGUAAUAGCUUAUUAGAGAUCAUAUCUAUUAAGUUGCUUGCCACCUCGAUGUUGNCUUAAGUAUAUAAUAGGGCGCAGUAGUU